Molecule: ribosomal RNA, 468 nt
Filed under: uncultured bacterium
Lineage: Bacteria
Description: partial 16S ribosomal RNA
Rfam family: Bacterial small subunit ribosomal RNA
Source: RNAcentral
GACGAACGCUGGCGGCGUGCUUAACACAUGCAAGUCGAACGGAAAGGCCCUGCUUUUGUUGGUUGCUCGAGUGGCGAACGGGUGAGUAACACGUGUGUAACCUGCCCUUGACUUUCGGAUAACUUCAGGAAACUGGGGCUAAUACCGCAUAUGAGCUCUUGCUCCAUGUUGUGGGUUGGAAAGUUUCGGCGUUUGUGGAUGGACUCGCUGCUUAUCAGCUUGUUUGUGUGGUAGUGGCUUUCCAAGGCUUGGACGGGUAGCCGGCCUGAGAGGGGUACCGGCGACAUGGGGACUGAGAGACGGACCAGAAGCGUACGGGAGGCAGCAGGGGGGAAUAUUGCAGAGUGGGCGGAAGCCAGAGGCGGAAACGCCGGGUGCGGGAUGACGGGCUUCGGGUUGUAAACAGAUUUCGAAUGAGAUGAAGAGGGAGUGACGGUAAUGGGUAAAGAAGCACCGGCUAACUACGUG